RNAcentral lists this ribosomal RNA (872 nucleotides) under uncultured bacterium. RNAcentral describes it as "bacterial SSU rRNA". It matches the Rfam family "Bacterial small subunit ribosomal RNA", at positions 1 to 912 of the family's 1533-position model. The record is from RNAcentral.
UUAGAGUUUGAUCAUGGCUCAGAAUCAACGCUUUGCGGCGCGCUUAACACAUGCAAGUCGAACGAGAAAGUGGAGCAAUCCAUGAGUAAAGUGGCGUACGGGUGAGUAACACGUGGGGAUCUACCCUUUGGUGGGGAAUAACCUGGGGAAACCUGGGCUAAUACCGCAUAAGUCCGCAAGGAGAAAGUCGCAAGACGCCGAUGGAGGAACCCGCGGCCGAUUAGCUAGUUGGUGAGGUAAAAGCUCACCAAGGCAACGAUCGGUAGCCGGCCUGAGAGGGCACACGGCCACACUGGCACUGAAACACGGGCCAGACUCCUACGGGAGGCAGCAGUGGGGAAUCUUGCACAAUGGGGGCAACCCUGAUGCAGCGACGCCGCGUGAGUGAUGAAGCCCUUCGGGGUGUAAAGCUCUUUCGACGGGGACGAUUAUGACGGUACCCGGAGAAGAAGCUGCGGCUAACUACGUGCCAGCAGCCGCGGUAAUACGUAGGCAGCGAGCGUUGUUCGGAAUUACUGGGCGUAAAGAGUGCGUAGGCGGUUCGGCCAGUCUGGUGUGAAAUCUCCCGGCUUAACUGGGAGGGUGCGCUAGAAACUGCCGGGCUAGAGUGUGGGAGAGGAAAGUGGAAUUCCUGGUGUAGCGGUGAAAUGCGUAGAUAUCAGGAGGAACACCUGCGGUGUAGACGGCUUUCUGGACCACUACUGACGCUGAGGCACGAAAGCGUGGGGAGCAAACAGGAUUAGAUACCCUGGUAGUCCACGCCCUAAACGAUGCGGACUUGGUGUGCGCCCUUCAUUGGGUGCGUGCCGGAGCUAACGCGUUAAGUCCGCCGCCUGGGGAGUACGGUCGCAAGGCUGAACUCAAAGGAAUUG